Molecule: transfer RNA, 102 nt
Organism: Hebeloma cylindrosporum
Lineage: Eukaryota; Fungi; Basidiomycota; Agaricomycetes; Agaricales; Hymenogastraceae
Rfam family: tRNA
About the family: Transfer RNA (tRNA) molecules are approximately 80 nucleotides in length. Their secondary structure includes four short double-helical elements and three loops (D, anti-codon, and T loops). Further hydrogen bonds mediate the characteristic L-shaped molecular structure. tRNAs have two regions of fundamental functional importance: the anti-codon, which is responsible for specific mRNA codon recognition, and the 3' end, to which the tRNAs corresponding amino acid is attached (by aminoacyl-tRNA synthetases). tRNAs cope with the degeneracy of the genetic code in two manners: having more than one tRNA (with a specific anti-codon) for a particular amino acid; and 'wobble' base-pairing, i.e. permitting non-standard base-pairing at the 3rd anti-codon position.
Source: Rfam
GCCCGCCUAGCUCAAUCGGAUAGAGCGUCAGACUCUUAAGGCGGUGUCAAUUGCAUUCCUCUCGGAAUCUGAAGGCUGCGAGUUCGACCCUCGCGGUGGGCU